AUACGGAGGUGGCUAGCGUUGUUCGGAAUUACUGGGCGUAAAGCGCGUGUAGGCGGAUCGUUAAGUCAGGGGUGAAAGCCCGGAGCUCAACUCCGGAAUUGCCCUUGAUACUGGCGAUCUAGAGGCCGGGAGAGGUGAGCGGAAUUCCCAGUGUAGAGGUGAAAUUCGUAGAUAUUGGGAGGAACACCAGUGGCGAAGGCGGCUCACUGGCCCGGUUCUGACGCUGAGACGCGAAAGCGUGGGGAGCAAACAGGAUUAGAUACCCUAGUAGUCC
Molecule: ribosomal RNA, 274 nt
Filed under: uncultured bacterium
Lineage: Bacteria
Description: partial 16S ribosomal RNA
Rfam family: Bacterial small subunit ribosomal RNA
Source: RNAcentral